AUAGCCAGUGCAACCUCCUGGGAUCUGAGAAGGUUAGUGGCUGCGGUCAGUUCUUGCUCCAGCAACAGCAGUUUAUUAUCAACAAACUCUUUCAAACGUUAAUUUCCUGUGUCGGCUGAAUCAUCGGGUCUCCAGGUUCUGCCCAGGCAUCACACUAAGUCGUGGUUGUAAUGUGACAAAGUGUGAAAAAAAAGUAAAGUAGGAAGAGCAGCGUUGCAGGCUGUUCUCUGGAUCUGGGUGGACCUCUCCAUGCAGCCUGCAUUGAUGUGCUGACUGGCUCCAGAAGUGUCUGACGACUACUAAUGUAACAUAAAAGAUCUGGCUUCUCUUUCCCCUGCAGGCGGUUCAGUUCUCAUGGAGGCCCCUUAUCAUUAAAUGUUGACUGAUAACCCAGGGAA
Long non-coding RNA from Fundulus heteroclitus (mummichog), 398 nucleotides. RefSeq lists it as uncharacterized. The record is from RefSeq and is a predicted model, not a curated record. Lineage: Eukaryota; Metazoa; Chordata; Actinopteri; Cyprinodontiformes; Fundulidae. The transcript has 2 exons.